RNAcentral lists this transfer RNA (69 nucleotides) under Marmota monax (woodchuck). RNAcentral's name for it is "tRNA.Thr". Lineage: Eukaryota; Metazoa; Chordata; Mammalia; Rodentia; Sciuridae. The record is from RNAcentral.
GGGGUUGUGGCUCAGUGGUAGAGUGCUCACCUAGUGUGUAUGAGGCACUGGGUUCGAUUCUCAACACCA